Onychomys torridus (southern grasshopper mouse) is the source of this 2955-nucleotide long non-coding RNA. RefSeq lists it as uncharacterized. The transcript has 4 exons. Lineage: Eukaryota; Metazoa; Chordata; Mammalia; Rodentia; Cricetidae. The record is from RefSeq and is a predicted model, not a curated record.
UCUCUUAAUGACGUUUAGGGAGGCAGAAAGUGACAGUAGGGUUAUAGAAGGGUAGUGACUGUCCAGCCUUGAUAUCACCCACGCCUGACUCUUUCCACUGUCCUUCCCAGAGCGCUCAGCGGGGGAAUCCAGACUGCGAGGGCUCCAGGAGGCUGUCGCGGAGACUCCUGAGUGGGACAGCUCUGAGAUGUUCCUGGCACCGCACAUUCCUCUGAGGAGUUUCCUGUGAGCCCGGAAAGCAAAUGUUCACUCGGUCGCCAGCCACGCGGAGCAGACUCAUUUUGGGACUUGUCCUACUACUUGUGAUUUUGGAGACACAGCCAGCAUGAACAGGAAGUCAGCCAUAGAAGGAUGGGAGACUUUCUCUCAGCUUUUCUGAAACUCUGCGAGCUGGGAACAUGGAAGGGAAGGAGGAAGAGCUUGAAGAGGUCAGUGGAAGCAGGCAGCUACGGCUGAGUUAAGUUGAAGUCCUCUUGUCUGAGGAGUUUGUGACUCUCAAGGAUGUAGCCAUGGAUUUCACUCUGGAAGACUGGGAAGAGCUGGAUCUGAUCUGGAUCAGAGAGAUCUGUUCUGGGAUUUGAUGCUGAACAGCUACCAGGACCUUUUCUUGCUCAGACAGCAUGUGUGAUGCCUGAUGUUCCUGCAAAGAACCUCAUACCAGUGACACUGAAGGAAUCCAGGACUGACUUCGGCCACUACUCAGAACAGCUGGAAGGACUCUGUCCAGGGAGAAGAGAAGCUAUGUAAGUGUAGUGAGUGUGGGAAAAGCUUCAGCCAGAGUUACCACCUUCUCCAGCACUGGAUUGUCCAUGUGAGGGAGAAUGCCCUGCAUAGCAUGAGCAGGGGAGGGGCCUCAGCAAGGGUGCUUUCCUUCUCAUGCAUCCAGUGACUCAAACAAGCUACAAAUCAUACAUGUGUCAGGAGUGUGGGAAAAGGUUUAGUCAGAAUAUGUACCUCCAGUAGCAUCAGAAAAUUCACAUUGGAGAAAGCCUGUGUAAAACAUCUCAAAGUGAUGACUGAGAAAAUCCCUCCAAGAGUCAAAGUGGUGAGCCACAAAGCUGCUGCAGAGUAAGGUGCUGACUCAGCAAGCGCUGUAAACCUCAAGGUUGGGACAAAAGAAACCACUGACUAGUAAUAGUAGUGACCAAAACAGCUGCACCAGAGUCCAUCCAGUCUUCAUCCAUAGCCUAGUAAGCAUCAGAAAACUCCUACAAACAUUAAGUCCUACAGAUGUGGGAAUGUGGGCAGACAUUGAGCCAGGCCUUUCAUCUGGACACCAGAGGGGCCACACUCAGAAACUUUAUGAAUGCACUACAUGCCUUGAAAUCUUCCACAUAAGGAAACAUUUUGUCCAACAUUGAAAAAUUCAUUUUGUACAAACUGUCUUUCAAAGACAGAGUGUCAAGGAUGCAAAAAGACCUUUAAUCAGAGACCAUCACUCAUUGAGCACCAGGCUGUUCGUCCAGGAGAGAAGCCAUGCAAGUGUAAUGGGUGUGGGAAAGCUUUCAACUGCUCCUCCACCCUGAUGAUCCACCAGAGGCUCACAGUGGAGAGAAGCCUUACAGAUGCAGUGAGUGUGGGAAACGUCCUGUCUGAGCACACCUAACGAGCACCGCUGAUCCGCUCAGCCCACAGACCUUACUAGUGUCCAGAAUGCGUCAGGAGUUUCAGCCGUCCCUCGUAUUUGAUUCGGCAUCAGCCGAGGAGUCACGCCACAGAAAAGCUCCUUGGCUGUGCUAAGUGCAAGGAGACCUUCAGCCAUAAAGAACAACUAGUGCAGGACCAUAAAGUUCCCAGAGUCCCCGUGGGAAUGUAAGCCGCGUGGAGAACACUUCAUUUGCAGCUCAACUCUGAAUUGCCUCCUGAGUAUUCACACCAGAGAAAAUCCAAGCGAGAAGGUUGGGUCAGAGCUCAAGGCAUGCUGGGAAAGCUUUAAGUGUGCUGAGGGUGGAAGAGGUCUCAACCACAACAGAUCCCUGGGCGUGAGGAGAGUCACACCAAGAUGACAUCCUGUGAGUGGAACAGAGUAUGCACCUCAUUAGCCUUCAGAGCGUCCAUGCUGGUAUGAAGACAAAUGAAUGCAUGUAUGACAGCUCUGUCACUGAGCGUCAGACUUCCCACAGUGAGCACCCCUUUAAAUGUAACAAAUGCAGCAGAACCUUUAAUCAGAGAGACCACCUUUUGAAAUCAGUUGUUCACACUGGAGAGAAACCCUUUAAAUGCGAUUUAUGUGACAGAGCCUUUAAACAGAGUAACUACCUUAUUCAGCACCAGAGAAUAAAUACUGCAAAGAAGCACUUUGAGUGUAGUGAGUGUGGGAACAUGUUUAGUCAGAGUUCAUGCCUUUCUAAGCAUCAGAAAAUUCACACAGGGGAGAAGCCUUUUAAAUGUAGUGACUGUGGGAAAGCCUUCAUCUUGGGUGCCCAACUCAUCCGAUAGCAUAGAAUUCACACUGGGGAAGAGCUGUGUGUUUGUCAGGGGUGUGGGAAAGCCUCCAGCCAGAGUGUCUGCCUUUCUCUGCACCGUGGAGCUCACAGGGGUGAGAAGCCAAACAAUAUAGCAAAUGCGGGAAAACCUUUUCCCAAAAAGCAAAUUAAAAGAAGCACGAGAGGAUUCCUGGUGGAGAAGCUUACACCUGUGAUGUGUAGUAAAGCGCUUAUCUCAACACCAGAGAACUCACACCCAGGAGAAAUCACAUGGUCAGGACUGUCCCAAAGCCUUUCACAGCUGCUCUGCUCUCAGCAAACACCAGCAACUUCAGACUUGUAAAGUAACAAGUAGCACUGUCCAGAGCCUCUUGGUGACAGCAGAGUCCCAUACAUUUGAAGGCAUUCAUAUGAAGUCAGCCAUUGAAACCAGCAUAUUACAAACCUCCCCUCCCAAUAAGUCCUAUAAAAGUUGAUGAGACAGCUGGGCGGUGGUGGCACAUGCCUUUAAUCCCAGCACUCGGGAGGC